Long non-coding RNA from Aedes aegypti (yellow fever mosquito), 546 nucleotides. RefSeq lists it as uncharacterized. The transcript is spliced from 2 exons. The record is from RefSeq and is a predicted model, not a curated record. NCBI's taxonomy places the organism in Eukaryota, Metazoa, Arthropoda, Insecta, Diptera, Culicidae.
AUCUCAACCCAGUUACAUCUAGAUCAUCAGUUCUCAAGAUGAAGUUGGCAAUCAUUUGUGUUGUUGCGAUUAUCGCCACUACUGUUUCUUCCGCUAACGUCCCAUGCAAUAAACCUUGUUUGGGCCAGUACGAAGUGUUCCAGGACUGUGCAUCGGUGUGCCCCGCCACGUGUGAUGCUCCUUAUGGAAAUAAUUGCAAUGCAUGCUCUCCUGGAUGUGCUUGCAUGGAUGGCUACGUGCGCAAUGCCAGCUAUGUUUGCGUAAAGCUGUGCGAUUGUCCUGGAGCGACCACCCCUAUUCCCAUGUGAAUUUAAAUAAAGGGACCGUUUAUAAAUGACGUAGCAUUUUACCUCCCCCCUAAAAUGCUUUGACGAACCAUGUAUUAGGUAUGGCAACAUAGGCUACUAUAAAGAAGAAAGGUGCCAAAAAUUGGUCUAAAAUGCUACGUAAUUUAUGGAUGCAGCCAAAUAUGAUUUUAUAAAUUCCUAUAUGAAGUCAGCAAUAAAUAUUUCAAGGUUAAAAAAUAUCCAAAUUAUGUAAACUUUA